CAUCUCCAAAAGUAGGAAAUAUGACUUCUGUAAAUAAGUGAAACGAGAUGAUAACCUUGAAGAGAGUCUGUCUUUGAAAGUGUAACGAAAACAGGGUUCCAUUUGACGAUGACAGUGAUGAAGAAGUAUAAAGCAAAGCAAAGUUCAGAAAGAAACAU
Molecule: long non-coding RNA, 158 nt
Organism: Hibiscus syriacus
Lineage: Eukaryota; Viridiplantae; Streptophyta; Magnoliopsida; Malvales; Malvaceae
Exons: 3
Source: RefSeq, a predicted model, not a curated record